AUUGAACGCUGGCGGCAGGCCUAACACAUGCAAGUCGAGCGGUAGAGAGGUGCUUGCAUCUCUUGAGAGCGGCGGACGGGUGAGUAAUGCCUAGGAAUCUGCCUAGUGGUGGGGGAUAACGUUCGGAAACGGACGCUAAUACCGCAUACGUCCUACGGGAGAAAGCGGGGGGAUCUUCGGACCUCGCGCCAUUAGAUGAGCCUAGGUCGGAUUAGCUAGUUGGUGAGGUAAUGGCUCACCAAGGCGACGAUCCGUAACUGGUCUGAGAGGAUGAUCAGUCACACUGGAACUGAGACACGGUCCAGACUCCUACGGGAGGCAGCAGUGGGGAAUAUUGGACAAUGGGCGAAAGCCUGAUCCAGCCAUGCCGCGUGUGUGAAGAAGGUCUUCGGAUUGUAAAGCACUUUAAGUUGGGAGGAAGGGUAGGUAACCUAA
This 435-nucleotide ribosomal RNA is filed under the name uncultured bacterium. RNAcentral's name for it is "bacterial SSU rRNA". It matches the Rfam family "Bacterial small subunit ribosomal RNA", at positions 30 to 464 of the family's 1533-position model. The record is from RNAcentral.